UGCAUUCACUACUGUAAGUUGCUCUGGUUAAUAAGAGCAUCUGCUAAAUGACUAAAA
This is a non-coding RNA of Salmo salar (Atlantic salmon), 57 nucleotides long. NCBI's taxonomy places the organism in Eukaryota, Metazoa, Chordata, Actinopteri, Salmoniformes, Salmonidae. The record is from Rfam.